GCUAGCUGGCUGCUGGAGCGGGC
RNAcentral lists this non-coding RNA (23 nucleotides) under Cricetulus griseus (Chinese hamster). Lineage: Eukaryota; Metazoa; Chordata; Mammalia; Rodentia; Cricetidae. The record is from RNAcentral.